RNAcentral lists this ribosomal RNA (378 nucleotides) under Vibrio sp. RYO1. RNAcentral's name for it is "bacterial SSU rRNA". It matches the Rfam family "Bacterial small subunit ribosomal RNA", at positions 373 to 723 of the family's 1533-position model. The record is from RNAcentral. Lineage: Bacteria; Pseudomonadati; Pseudomonadota; Gammaproteobacteria; Vibrionales; Vibrionaceae.
GGGCGCAAGCCUGAUGCAGCCAUGCCGCGUGUGUGAAGAAGGCCUUCGGGUUGUAAAGCACUUUCAGUCGUGAGGAAGGUAGUGUAGUUAAUAGCUGCAUUAUUUGACGUUAGCGACAGAAGAAGCACCGGCUAACUCCGUGCCAGCAGCCGCGGUAAUACGGAGGGUGCGAGCGUUAAUACGGAGGGUGCGAGCGUUAAUCGGAAUUACUGGGCGUAAAGCGCAUGCAGGUGGUUUGUUAAGUCAGAUGUGAAAGCCCGGGGCUCAACCUCGGAAUUGCAUUUGAAACUGGCAGACUAGAGUACUGUAGAGGGGGGUAGAAUUCAGGUGUAGCGGUGAAAUGCGUAGAGAUCUGAAGGAAUACCGGUGGCGAAGGCG